RNAcentral lists this ribosomal RNA (1432 nucleotides) under uncultured organism. RNAcentral describes it as "16S ribosomal RNA". It matches the Rfam family "Bacterial small subunit ribosomal RNA". The record is from RNAcentral.
CGGCGUGCUUAACACAUGCAAGUCGAACGGAAAGGCCCUGCUUUUGUGGGGUGCUCGAGUGGCGAACGGGUGAGUAACACGUGAGUAACCUGCCCUUGACUUUGGGAUAACUUCAGGAAACUGGGGCUAAUACCGGAUAGGAGCUCCUGCUGCAUGGUGGGGGUUGGAAAGUUUCGGCGGUUGGGGAUGGACUCGCGGCUUAUCAGCUUGUUGGUGGGGUAGUGGCCUACCAAGGCUUUGACGGGUAGCCGGCCUGAGAGGGUGACCGGCCACAUUGGGACUGAGAUACGGCCCAGACUCCUACGGGAGGCAGCAGUGGGGAAUAUUGCACAAUGGGCGGAAGCCUGAUGCAGCAACGCCGCGUGCGGGAUGACGGCCUUCGGGUUGUAAACCGCUUUCGCCUGUGACGAAGCGUGAGUGACGGUAAUGGGUAAAGAAGCACCGGCUAACUACGUGCCAGCAGCCGCGGUGAUACGUAGGGUGCGAGCGUUGUCCGGAUUUAUUGGGCGUAAAGGGCUCGUAGGUGGUUGAUCGCGUCGGAAGUGUAAUCUUGGGGCUUAACCCUGAGCGUGCUUUCGAUACGGGUUGACUUGAGGAAGGUAGGGGAGAAUGGAAUUCCUGGUGGAGCGGUGGAAUGCGCAGAUAUCAGGAGGAACACCAGUGGCGAAGGCGGUUCUCUGGGCCUUUCCUGACGCUGAGGAGCGAAAGCGUGGGGAGCGAACAGGCUUAGAUACCCUGGUAGUCCACGCUGUAAACGGUGGGUACUAGGUGUGGGGUCCAUUCCACGGGUUCCGUGCCGUAGCUAACGCUUUAAGUACCCCGCCUGGGGAGUACGGCCGCAAGGCUAAAACUCAAAGGAAUUGACGGGGCCCCGCACAAGCGGCGGAGCAUGCGGAUUAAUUCGAUGCAACGCGUAGAACCUUACCUGGGUUUGACAUGGAUCGGGAGUGCUCAGAGAUGGGUGUGCCUCUUUUGGGGUCGGUUCACAGGUGGUGCAUGGCUGUCGUCAGCUCGUGUCGUGAGAUGUUGGGUUAAGUCCCGCAACGAGCGCAACCCUUGUUCACUGUUGCCAGCACGUUAUGGUGGGGACUCAGUGGAGACCGCCGGGGUCAACUCGGAGGAAGGUGGGGAUGACGUCAAGUCAUCAUGCCCCUUAUGUCCAGGGCUUCACGCAUGCUACAAUGGCUGGUACAGAGAGUGGCGAGCCUGUGAGGGUGAGCGAAUCUCGGAAAGCCGGUCUCAGUUCGGAUUGGGGUCUGCAACUCGACCUCAUGAAGUCGGAGUCGCUAGUAAUCGCAGAUCAGCAACGCUGCGGUGAAUACGUUCCCGGGGCUUGUACACACCGCCCGUCAAGUCAUGAAAGUUGGUAACACCCGAAGCCGGUGGCCUAACCGUUGUGGGGGAGCCGUCGAAGGUGGGACUGGUGAUUAGG